Osmia lignaria (orchard mason bee) is the source of this 268-nucleotide non-coding RNA. The record is from RefSeq and is a predicted model, not a curated record. Lineage: Eukaryota; Metazoa; Arthropoda; Insecta; Hymenoptera; Megachilidae.
AUCUUCACGAGGAUGGUAGGAUUCGCUAGAAACCUUGAUCCAUUGAUCGUUAGGAUCAUUAUUUUUAACAAAUUUAUAUUAGGGCUAAUCAAAAUUCUAUCUACACGUUUCAUGCGAGUUGCACAACAAGCCAUUAAUAAAAUUCAUGUUGGAAAACGAUAACGCAUCACAAUGGUGUCACCGGACUAAUUGCGAUUUCGCGUGAUCAGCAGAAAGCAUGCCCGAAAAAUAAGUCGGAAUACAUGAAAAUUAACUGACACACACACGU